This is a long non-coding RNA of Asparagus officinalis (garden asparagus), 3125 nucleotides long. RefSeq lists it as uncharacterized. The transcript is spliced from 5 exons. NCBI's taxonomy places the organism in Eukaryota, Viridiplantae, Streptophyta, Magnoliopsida, Asparagales, Asparagaceae. The record is from RefSeq and is a predicted model, not a curated record.
GGUUUUCACUUUUUCUCCUGUUUCAGCCUCCUCCUUCAGAUCUGACUCCAAAGACCGGCUCCUCUCUCCUCUCUCUCCUUCUUCAGAUCUGCUCGGGUUUUCACUGUUCUCCCUCGAAGCUGGUCGUUCACUCGUCCCUCGAAUCUCGUCGCCGACUCCUCCCUCGAAGCUCGUCAUCCCUUGAAGCUCGUCGUCCCUCGAAGAUCGUAGUUUACUCCUCCCUCGACUGUCCCUCUCGAGUCAUCAAAAUAUAAUUUUGCACGAGAUCUGAUCUCAUCCCUUGCGGAUCUGUAAUUUCAAUCGGCUUCAUUUAAUCGUCAGAGAGUUGAAGAAACUAAUACGAGAAGGUGUGCGGUUUUGUAAUGUAAAAUGUCUAUUGAGCUGCCCUUUUAUUGGUAAAUUCUUUCCAGAUCUAGCAAAAGAUCCGCACACCAUGAAGAUUUUAAGUUCUAUGAAGAAAGUUAAUGGUCCACUUGCUGUUGAAGUAAAUUAUGCUAUUACUUGAAAACUGAUGAAAGAGCUAACUUUGUUGAAUCAUUUAAUUGACUUGCUGAAAAGUGGGCCCACCAUCCCAUGGAGGGGCAUGUUUUGAGUUUAAGAAAGUUGAAGAUGAAUAUUCAAAGCUGCAAUUUGAGCAUAAUUGACAUACAAACUAAUAACUUGCUCAAAAUGGGUGGAGAAAUAAUCCAUUCUCAAAAGUUCAAUCAAAUAUCCAAUGCUGUUGUACUUUAUGAACUCCUUAAAAAACUCUUUUAAACAUGUGAUUGCAAGUUGACUUUCCACAAAUGUUUCCACCAACAAAGGCUUCAGCAAAGCUUCUAUAGUAAGUCUUGAAAGCUUCUUAGAAAAAGAAAUGGCUGCAAAAACAACAAAUCUAGUUCGAUCCAGCUCUCCAAACAAACCAAGUGCUUCCUGAAAAUUUAGGACAAAUGCAUCCAAGGAAUCUCCCAUGGAUGGCCACUUUCUAAUCAUCCUUUGAAGAAACAGCACCAUGUUCAAAAUAGAUGUGGUUUUAGUAUCACAACCUAAAACAAAAAAAAGAAUGUUCCAAAGGGCCCGAGCUGGUAUUGCAUCCCAAAAACAAAACCUGUAAAAAAACAUAAAGUUGUAACAACACUGUAUAAACCUAGCUAUACUUCAGAGAUUUUGCCGUUAAGAGGCAAUACUUUGCAAUUUACCUCAAUAAAAGUAUCACCAUUGUCAGCAAGAGGACGUAGACCAGUCUCGAGGUCAAUAACUACAUCAUUCUACACAUAAAUAAGCAAAUAUAUAUAAAUUAUAACACAACAAGUAACAAGGCUUUAAAAGACAUUGCACUAUGAUCUACAAAUAAAAAAGAGCAUUUCAUAUUAAGUACCAAAUUCCCUUUAUUACGAACAAAUAAUUGCACCAAAUCAACAACAUAUUUAGUGUCAUCAAACGAGCGACGCACGCACACACACAUCAAAUGAGCAAUUAUCGAGAAACCUUAAUUAUGAAAUGUGUGUGCACGCGCGUUUAUAUUCUGAUGUGUGUGUGUGCGCGCGCACGUCGCUCGUUUGAUGAGACCAAAUAUGUUGUUGAUUUUGUGCAAUUAUUUGUUCGUAAUAAAGAGAAUUUGGUACUUAAUAUGAAAUGCUCUUUUUUAUUUGUAGAUCAUAGUGCAAUGUCUUUUAAAGCAUUGUUACUUGUUGUGUUAUAAUUUAUAAAUAUUUGCUUAUUUAUGUUUAGGAUGAUGUGGCUAUUGAUCACGAGACUGGUCUACUUCCUCUUGCUGACAAUGGUGAUACUUUUAUUGAGGUAAAUUGCAAAGAAUUGCCUCUUAACGGAAAAAUCUUUGAAGUAUAGCUAGGUUUAUACAGUGUUGUUACAACUUUAUGUUUUUCUUACAGGUUUUGUUUUUGGGAUGCAAUACCAGCCCGGGCCCUUUGGAACAUUCUUUUUUUGUUUUAGGUUGUGAUCCUAAAAGCACAUCUAUUUUGAAUAUGGUGCUGUUUCUUCAAAGGAUGAUUAGAAAGUGGUCAUCCUUGGAAGAUUCCUUGGACGCAUUUGUCCUAAAUUUUCAGGAAGCACUUGGUUUGUUUGGAGAGCUGGAUCGAACUAGAUUUGCUAUUUUUGCAGCCAUUUCUUUUUCUAAGAAGCUUUCAUGACUUACUAUAGGAGCUUUGUUGAAGCCUUUGUUGGUGGAAACGUUUGUGGAAAGUCAACUUGCAAUCACAUUUUCGAAAGAGUUUUUUAAGGAGUUUAUGAAGUACAAUAGCAUUGGAUAUUUGAUUGAACUUUUGAGAAUGAAUUAUUUCUUCACCCAUUUUGAGUAAGUUCUUAGUUCGUAUGCAAUUGGCUUUAUGGUUGUCACUUUUGCUCCUCAUGUUUUGUAGUUCUUCAGCAAUGUUGAAUAUGAAGAUCUGGUCACCCAGAUGAGGCUUUGUCUUUUGAAGGACGAGUUAUUGAAGCUGCAACCAACUGAACUUUCUACCAAGUUGGCUGAGGUGAGAGAGAUGGUUCAGCCACACCCAGUGAGCUAGGUUCUUCCAUUUAUAGUUGAAGUAAUUCUUUGUCCGGAGGAGCUGUCUUCACUUGCUGUCGAUAAGCGGGAAAAGUUUGUCAAUACCAAGGUAAAAGCUUCUACUUAGAGACAGUUUGUGAUGAUGAAGAAGCUUUUCAGCUAGAACUUAUUAAAUCCGUUCAAAACUUUUGCCUUCAGAUAAACUUUGAAUCAUGCUUUUUCUUAUGAUUCUUGAAACUUUGAAUCAACAAGGUAUUCUUGCUGCAAAAGUUAUUAUAAGCUGGUUUGACUUGCAAAGCGGAGAUUUGGCGAUGGUGGGAUGUGUGGAUGCAAUGCGAAGCUUUAUCAAUUGUCUUCAGGCAAUUGGAGAGCAUUGUUUAUACUGUUUGAAAUUGUGAUAAUACUGCUGUUUUUUAGUAGUGGCAGUUUUGCUCACUCUUUGAUCUUUGUGUGGUGAAGUGCACCUUGCAGUGAUUACAUUGGCAUAUACUGUGGUACUCUUAUGAAACAGGCUUAUACUGUUACACUCUAUUCUGUUAUGAUGUCCAACAAUGUUAUGGAGUCUGUCGAUACCAAUUUGAUUUGAGUUUUAUGUUUUAAGGUGGAUGUGUUAACAAUUUUACUUUUAACUGUUUGAAUC